RNAcentral lists this ribosomal RNA (492 nucleotides) under uncultured bacterium. RNAcentral's name for it is "partial 16S ribosomal RNA". It matches the Rfam family "Bacterial small subunit ribosomal RNA", at positions 29 to 507 of the family's 1533-position model. The record is from RNAcentral.
AGUGAACGCUGGCGGUAGGCCUAACACAUGCAAGUCGAACGGCAGCACAGUAAGAGCUUGCUCUUACGGGUGGCGAGUGGCGGACGGGUGAGGAAUACAUCGGAAUCUACUUUUUCGUGGGGGAUAACGUAGGGAAACUUACGCUAAUACCGCAUACGGCCUACGGGUGAAAGCAGGGGAUCUUCGGACCUUGCGCGAUUGAAUGAGCCGAUGUCGGAUUAGCUAGUUGGCGGGGUAAAGGCCCACCAAGGCGACGAUCCGUAGCUGGUCUGAGAGGAUGAUCAGCCACACUGGAACGGAGACACGGUCCAGACUCCUACGGGAGGCAGCAGUGGGGAAUAUUGGACAAUGGGCGCAAGCCUGAUCCAGCCAGACCGCGUGGGUGAAGAAGGCCUUCGGGUUGUAAAGCCCUUUUGUUGGGAAAGAAAAGCAGCAGGUUAAUACCCCGCUGUUCUGACGGUACCCAAAGAAUAAGCACCGGCUAACUUCGUG